Molecule: unclassified non-coding RNA, 134 nt
Filed under: uncultured Rozellomycota
Lineage: Eukaryota; Fungi; Rozellomycota
Description: uncultured Cryptomycota sequence contains ITS2
Source: RNAcentral
ACCCUCUUGAUCCAUUGAUCAUCCAAUGGCAUCAGACAUGGACAUGUUCAUCAGUGAUUGUCUUGAAUUGUGCGUGAUUGUGUCGUGGUAGGGAUGGCAUUGCUGUUGUUGAUCGACCAAUCGUUACCUUUUGU